GAUGACCUAGUGGUUAGAGCGUCCGCCACAGAUGCGGGAGGUCGUGGGUUCGAUCCCCGAUGAUGUCA
Non-coding RNA from Potamilus streckersoni, 68 nucleotides. NCBI's taxonomy places the organism in Eukaryota, Metazoa, Mollusca, Bivalvia, Unionida, Unionidae. The record is from the annotation of a GenBank genome assembly.